AACGAACGUUGGCGGCAUGGCUUAGGCAUGCAAGUCGAACGCUUGUAGCAAUACAAGAGUGGCGAACGGGUGAGCAAUCCGUAGAUAACCUGCCCUCGAGUGAGGAAUAGCUACUGGAAACGGUAGGUAAUACCGCAUGACAUCAUGGGUCGCAUGGCCCAUGAUCAAAAGCCGCAAGGCGCUUGAGGAGGGAUCAACGGCGUAUCAGCUUGUUGGUGAGGUAACGGCUCACCAAGGCGAUGACGCGUAGCCGGUCUGAGAGGAUGGUCGGCCACACCGGGAACUGAGACACUGCCCGGACACCUACGGGUGGCUGCAGUCGAGAAUCUUCGGCAAUGGGCGCAAGCCUGACCGAGCGAUGCC
RNAcentral lists this ribosomal RNA (363 nucleotides) under uncultured bacterium. Its description in RNAcentral is "bacterial SSU rRNA". It matches the Rfam family "Bacterial small subunit ribosomal RNA", at positions 29 to 398 of the family's 1533-position model. The record is from RNAcentral.